GCCGCUGUAGCUCAGUUGGUAGAGCAGCUGUCUUGUAAACAGCAGGUCGCGGGUUCGACUCCUGUCAGCGGCU
RNAcentral lists this transfer RNA (73 nucleotides) under Glycomyces harbinensis. RNAcentral's name for it is "tRNA_Thr_TGT". It matches the Rfam family "tRNA". From Rfam's summary of the family: Transfer RNA (tRNA) molecules are approximately 80 nucleotides in length. Their secondary structure includes four short double-helical elements and three loops (D, anti-codon, and T loops). Lineage: Bacteria; Bacillati; Actinomycetota; Actinomycetes; Glycomycetales; Glycomycetaceae. The record is from RNAcentral.